UGUCGGCACGGGCCGGUGUUCGAGGGUUAUCUGCAUGGUAAGCAGGUGGUCGGGGGUUCGACUCCCUCCGUUGCCGA
RNAcentral lists this transfer RNA (77 nucleotides) under Hypericibacter terrae. Its description in RNAcentral is "tRNA-Thr". The record is from RNAcentral. Lineage: Bacteria; Pseudomonadati; Pseudomonadota; Alphaproteobacteria; Rhodospirillales; Dongiaceae.